This is an RNA transcript of Esox lucius (northern pike), 2318 nucleotides long. It is a transcript of the gene named desmin, with no coding region annotated. Lineage: Eukaryota; Metazoa; Chordata; Actinopteri; Esociformes; Esocidae. The transcript is spliced from 10 exons. The record is from RefSeq and is a predicted model, not a curated record.
CACGGGAUGAGAGAUGGAGAGAGAGAGAAAGAGACACAUGCAGUGGGACAGAGGGGAGGGGGGGUAGAGGAUUUGAGGGAGUGGAUACGAGGGGGUAGGUAUGGGCCGAGGCGGACCGCUACAAAUAGCCAGAGUGUGUCUUGUGAGUCCCUCAGUCAGCCUCCCCUGCUCCAGUCCACUCCAGCUGCCCUCCCAGACUCGUAUCCCGCUCCAGCCCAGAACCUCCUGCUCCAUUCCAUCUUGCUCUCCACCAUGAGCUACAGCUCUUCUGCCCAGGCUGCCCAUUCCGGCUCCUCCUCCUACCGCCGCACCUUUGGGGCUGGGUACAGCCCUGCCAUGUCCCACUCCCUCUACAGCAACCGGGCCUCAGGCGGUGGCCUGGGACACGGUGGCUCUGGGCACAUCUCCUCCAGGGUCUACGAGGUCACCAAGACCUCAUCCUCGCCCGCCUACUCUGGCUACCGCACGUCGUCCCGCUUCGGCGGCCCCGUGAUGUCGUCGACCGCACACGGCUCAAGGUCAUACGCCGGGAUGGGGGAGACGCUGGACUUCAGCCUUGCCGACGCCCUGAACCAGGAGUUCCUCCACACGCGCACCAACGAGAAGGUUGAGCUGCAGCACCUCAACGACCGCUUCGCCAGCUACAUCGAGAAAGUCCGCUUCCUGGAGCAGCAGAACGCCACGUUGGUGGUUGAGAUCGAGAGGCUGCGAGGACGCGAGCCCACGCGCAUCGCUGAUCUCUACGAGGAGGAGAUGGCGGAUCUGCGGCGCCAGGUGGAGGCUUUGACCAACCAGAGGAGCCGUGUCGAGGUAGAGCGGGACAACUUUGCCGAUGACCUGGACAAACUGAAACUCAGACUGCAGGAAGAGGUCCUUCAGAGGGAGGAGGCGGAGAACAGCCUAGCUGCUUUCAGGGCUGACGUGGAUUCAGCCACUUUGGCCCGUCUGGACUUGGAGAGACGCAUCGAGACCCUACAGGAGGAGAUCGCUUUCCUCAAGAAGAUUCACGAGGAGGAGAUCCGUGAGAUGCAGUCCCAGAUGCAGGAGACCCAGGUCCAGGUUCAGAUGGACAUGUCCAAGCCGGACCUUACAGCCGCCCUGAGGGACAUCAGGGCCCAGUAUGAGGGCAUCGCCGCCAAGAACAUCCAGGAGGCUGAAGAGUGGUACAAGUCCAAGGUGACAGACCUGAACCAGGCAGUGAGUAAGAACAACGAGGCCCUAAAGCAAGCUAAAAUGGAGACCAUGGAGUUCAGACACCAGCUCCAGUCCUACACCUGUGAGAUCGACUCACUAAAGGGCACCAACGAGUCUCUGAUGCGCCAGAUGAGGGAGAUGGAGGAGCGCCACGGGCGUGACGCUGGCGGAUUCCAAGACACAAUUGCCCGCCUGGAGGCCGAGAUUGCCAACAUGAAGGAUGAGAUGGCCAGGCACCUCCGAGAGUACCAGGACCUGCUCAAUGUCAAGAUGGCCCUGGACGUAGAGAUAGCCACCUACAGAAAACUGCUGGAGGGGGAGGAAAGCAGGAUUUCUCUGCCUGUACAGAGCUAUGCCACCAUGUCCUUCCGUGAAACAAGCCCGGAGCACCACCACCGCGUUGCUGAAUCGCACUCAAAGAAAAGUGUCCUCAUCAAGACCAUAGAGACGCGUGACGGAGAGGUUGGGAUCAAUUCAAAUCCACCAUAUUAAUGUCCACACCGGCCUUGUUCAUCUUGUGCACACUUGGAAGUUGUUCUGCAAGGUGGUCUGUGAGUCAACACAGCAUCAGCAAGACAUCAUGUAACACUGAAAGAAAAGAUGAAGAACAAAGAAAAAAGAGAAGAAAACCCCUCAAAUAGAACAAAAAAAGGACAUGAACCACUUAUCCUCUGGGCCCUUAGUUGUUCUUAUUUCAAAGACAAGAAGUUUUCAAAUCAUACAAAAGAUGUAACAAAGAAAAAGAGAAAAUAAAGUCACCAGACACUGGGUGAUGCAUAGUACAAGCUCACCCGUUUGUCCUUUCCUCCAAGAUCUAUGCGCACCAUAUUGUCUUUAUUUAUGACUAUGAUAAUACUGUUUUUGCUGUUCUACCACAAGGCUUAUAUUAGCAUGAUAGAAGGAGCUCAGAUGACAUAUGCAGAGAGAAAAAGAGAAGUAUCUUGGAAAAGGAGAUGGGAUGAAAUAGGAAUGAAGGCUAAAUAUUCAAAGGGGGCGGGGGUUGAAAGGUGUGUACAUGAACAGACCAAUGGGAGGCUGACAGUGGCUUCUGAUGUCAGGACGAUUGGUCGGCCUAGUUAAGUUGAUGGACUAAUAAAGCAAAUAGCGACACCUGCUCACGAGAA